RNAcentral lists this long non-coding RNA (534 nucleotides) under Citrus maxima (pomelo). RNAcentral's name for it is "long non-coding RNA (CMAX_LNC001736)". The record is from RNAcentral. Lineage: Eukaryota; Viridiplantae; Streptophyta; Magnoliopsida; Sapindales; Rutaceae.
UCAAGAACUCGCAAAAGCAACUUCAUUACUUUGUAAUUUUGAUUCCGAAGUGAAUAUCUUUUCAGUUGAAGAUUAUGGAAACUACCUGCGCAGGUUUUUAGGCUAAGUUCAGUUGAAUAUCAUUUAUAAUUCUUAUUUUAAUACAUUUAUGAUUAAUUUUUCUGUUAUGAAAUUUUUAGGUAAUAACAAUUGGUCGGAGAUUAUCAUCCUACUACUAUUUCCUCUUCUCAGCACUACUGAUGAUGACAAUGUGAAUGACAAUCUUGAUCUUCUUGUUGUCCCUCAAUAUGGGAGAAACCCUAACUACACUGGUUAAUUACACUUACUCUUUUGUGUUAUGUUUAAUUGAAUAAAGUGAUGGGUACUUUUACCUAUCGUUCUGUCAAUUAUGUGACUGUCGGUUUGGUUCAAUUCAACUGAUAAAAUCUCUUGAGAUAUAUAAGAGAUUUUAUUUGUUUAUUUACGUGUAUCGUGUAUUCCUGAAAAAGGAAAUAAAUAAAUAAAUAUUGUUGCUUGUCUAUGUGUUAACAUUAA